AGUGAACGCUGGCGGUAGGCCUAACACAUGCAAGUCGAACGGCAGCACAGUAAGAGCUUGCUCUUACGGGUGGCGAGUGGCGGACGGGUGAGGAAUACAUCGGAAUCUACUUUUUCGGGGGGGAUAACGUAGGGAAACUUACGCUAAUACCGCAUACGACCUACGGGCGAAAGCAGGGGAUCUUCGGACCUUGCGCGAUUGAAUGAGCCGAUGUCGGAUUAGCUAGUUGGCGGGGUAAAGGCCCACCAAGGCGACGAUCCGUAGCCGGUCUGAGAGGAUGAUCAGCCACACUGGAACUGAGACACGGUCCAGACUCCUACGGGAGGCAGCAGUGGGGAAUAUUGGACAAUGGGCGCAAGCCUGAUCCAGCCAUACCGCGUGGGUGAAGAAGGCCUUCGGGUUGUAAAGCCCUUUUGUUGGGAAAGAAAAGCAGCAGGUUAAUACCCCGCUGUUCUGACGGUACCCAAAGAAUAAGCACCGGCUAACUUCGUG
This 492-nucleotide ribosomal RNA is filed under the name uncultured bacterium. Its description in RNAcentral is "partial 16S ribosomal RNA". It matches the Rfam family "Bacterial small subunit ribosomal RNA", at positions 29 to 507 of the family's 1533-position model. The record is from RNAcentral.